AGUGAACGCUGGCGGUAGGCCUAACACAUGCAAGUCGAACGGCAGCACAGUAAGAGCUUGCUCUUACGGGUGGCGAGUGGCGGACGGGUGAGGAAUACAUCGGAAUCUACUUUUUCGUGGGGGAUAACGUAGGGAAACUUACGCUAAUACCGCAUAUGACCUACGGGUGAAAGCAGGGGAUCUUCGGACCUUGCGCGAUUGAAUGAGCCGAUGUCGGAUUAGCUAGUUGGCGGGGUAAAGGCCCACCAAGGCGACGAUCCGUAGCUGGUCUGAGAGAAUGAGCAGCCAGACUGGAUCUGAGACACGGUCCUGACUCCUACAGGACGCAGCAGUGGGGACUAUUAGACGAUGGACGCAAGCCUGAUGCAACCGUGCCGCGUGGGUGGAGAAGGCCUUCGGAUUUUAAAGCCCUUCUCUUGGGAAAGAAAAGCAGCAGGUUAUUACCCCGCUCUUCUGACGGUACCCAAAGAAUAAGCACCGGCUAACUUCGUG
Molecule: ribosomal RNA, 492 nt
Filed under: uncultured bacterium
Lineage: Bacteria
Description: partial 16S ribosomal RNA
Rfam family: Bacterial small subunit ribosomal RNA
Source: RNAcentral